UGUUGAUUGUGAUGAAAUGCCAGUUGAAGCAUAUGUCCUGCGAGCUUAGGGGUGCUACAAGUUGACCACUGCAGCAGUAAAGAUGACUCUGAAGAAUGGCAUGGGAUGGAUCCUUUCGAAUGCACUUGAGCAGCGGUCUCCAACCACAGGGCCACAGAGCUGGAGCUGGAUCUACCAUGAAAGACUUCUGAAUCCAGGAAGAGAGACUGACUGGGCAACAUGUUAUUCAGGGUCUCCCUCUGUUGUCCAAGGCUGGAGUGUAGUAGCGCUAUCGCAGCUGACUGCAGCCUCAACCUUCCAGGCUGAAGCGAUCCUCCUACCUCAGCCUCCCACGUGGCUGAGACUACAGGUGCUUGCCACUAUGCCAACUAAUAUUUGGAAUUUUCGUAUACGU
This 394-nucleotide long non-coding RNA is filed under the name Pan troglodytes (chimpanzee). RNAcentral's name for it is "lincRNA". The record is from RNAcentral. Lineage: Eukaryota; Metazoa; Chordata; Mammalia; Primates; Hominidae.